This 319-nucleotide ribosomal RNA is filed under the name uncultured eukaryote. Its description in RNAcentral is "partial 18S ribosomal RNA". It matches the Rfam family "Eukaryotic small subunit ribosomal RNA", at positions 1470 to 1796 of the family's 1831-position model. The record is from RNAcentral.
CCCUUAGAUGUCCUGGGCUGCACGCGUGCUACAAUGAUACGUGCAACGAGUUAAUCCUGCUCUGAAAGGAGUGGGUAAUCUUAUGAAUGCGUAUCGUGCUUGGGAUUGACCAUUGUAAUUAUUGGUCAUGAACGAGGAAUUCCUAGUAAGCACAAGUCAUCAGCUUGUGCUGAUUACGUCCCUGCCCUUUGUACACACCGCCCGUCGCUCCUACCGAUUGAGUGUUCCGGUGAACAAUUUGGACUGCUUUGAUUCGAUUAGAAUUUGAAGCGGAAAGUUUAGUGAACCUUAUCACUUAGAGGAAGGAGAAGUCGUAACA